Molecule: ribosomal RNA, 453 nt
Filed under: uncultured Alloprevotella sp.
Lineage: Bacteria; Pseudomonadati; Bacteroidota; Bacteroidia; Bacteroidales; Prevotellaceae
Description: partial 16S ribosomal RNA
Rfam family: Bacterial small subunit ribosomal RNA
Source: RNAcentral
ACGGAAGGCAGCAGUGAGGAAUAUUGGUCAAUGGACGAGAGUCUGAACCAGCCAAGUAGCGUGCAGGAUGACGGCCCUCCGGGUUGUAAACUGCUUUUAGUUGGGAAUAAAAAAGGGAACGUGUUCCCUAUUGUAUGUACCAUCAGAAAAAGGACCGGCUAAUUCCGUGCCAGCAGCCGCGGUAAUACGGAAGGUCCGGGCGUUAUCCGGAUUUAUUGGGUUUAAAGGGAGCGUAGGCGGGCCUUUAAGUCAGUGGUAAAAGCGUGUGGCUCAACCAUACCACGCCAUUGAAACUGGAGGCCUUGAGUGCACACAGGGAUGCUGGAAUUCGUCGUGUAGCGGUGAAAUGCUUAGAUAUCACGAAGAACUCCGAUUGCGAAGGCAGCUGGCGGUACCGUUACCGACGCUCAUGCUCGAAAGUGUGGGUAUCGAACAGGAUUAGAUACCCUGGUA